RNAcentral lists this long non-coding RNA (6362 nucleotides) under Podarcis lilfordi (Lilford's wall lizard). Lineage: Eukaryota; Metazoa; Chordata; Lepidosauria; Squamata; Lacertidae. The record is from RNAcentral.
AAACAUAAAAUGAAGAUCUUGUCACAAUUUGUAGUUUUAUUACCAAUAGUACUUAGUAAGUUUUCAGUAUGUUCCCAACUGUUAAUUAGCUUCAUGUCAUUGAGAGCAGAUUGACAAAAUUUCUAGUCAGCAGUAAUAUUGGUUAGAAUACAUGCUGUUUUUAAAGCGUAUGCAAAAAAUAUUGUGUUUUUUCUUUUUUCCACAGCUGUAGCAAAAGUCACAAGAUGCACAUGCUUCAUGCUAAUCACAUUGAAAUAAAGCAACUGAUAUACAGAAACUUGAAAUGGGUGGGGUGGGGAGCACAAACAUAGAAUCUGCCUGGGUGGUUUCAAUUAAUGUCAUUGUCCAGUACAAGGACAGGAUGAGUUGAUCCAGAAAAGAAAACCUAGCAGCUUGUUUUAACAUGAGAGAUGCACACUCUGAAAUGCUGAUGAGGAAUUCAAAUAACUAUUCAGUUGUGACAGCUGUAAUCCUUUUUUGAGCCAGCUAUAGUGCAUUUGAGAAAAACAUGGUUUACUGGGAAAGCUACUGAACGCCAUCUUUUCAGAGUCAUAGAGAGUGAAGCCCCAAGUUUGAAAGUUUUAAUUGGAUUUCUAAGGGCUAAUUCAGUACUGUAGUCGAUUAAUGUUAUAAUAUAGCUAUAGUUGCGAAGUUUAGGAAUUAGGUUAUUCUCCCCCACCCCAUGUCUCUGUACACAGCUGCAAAAUACUUCUCCAUGUUGAAAGAAUAAGUCCUUCCAGAACAUGAAAGAUUGGAGAGAAUUUUGCUUAAGUUUUCUAGGGUAUGGGUGGGGAACCUCCAACCUGCAGGCCAAGUUUGGUGUGUGAGGCUGCUUUCUCCCCAAACCUUGCACCACAUGUGUGUAUCCCCUAUAUCCCCCAAUACUAACUUUGAUUGGAGUUGUCACUCAUAGGCUGCCCCUUAGUCCCAUUUAUUGGGUUUGGUGUUUUAUGUGCGUAUGUGUAGCGUGUUUGUUCUGCCUCUCCACCCCAGCCUCACACUGCAUACUGAAGAGCUUGACAUGUUAGCAGUCUAAACUACGGUACAUUCCUUUAAAAAAAAAAAAGUACAAUUAACAAGUGGUGAGGAAGAGUUGUAGAAUGCAGAUACUGCAUAGAACUGCUAGUGAGUUCACUGCUAAGCUGCCUGUAUCAGACUCAUCUGUGCAGAUGUAUUGGUAUGUUUUGAGUGGAUGUCUGGCAAAAUCAGAAGUGGGUACUUUACCUCAAUCCCCAGAGCAAUCCUCCUACUGUUUCUAAAGAAAAUAAACCAUUUUCUUUUGCUGUCUGCAAUAAACACAGCUGAAGUCCAUUGAGUGUGGAAGUUAUUUGCAAGAUUUAUAGGACAGAAUAAGUUGUCCUGGUUAUAGUGUAACAUGAAUGCACUGUACGUUUACUAAGUACCUCGUGAAAGAGAGAGCAUGUGCAGGAAAUGGAAGAAGUGAUUAUGGUUCUUGAAUAGAAAAUAAAGCAUAGUCUUAUGGUCACUUCUUUGGACUUGGGGGGGGCAUUGCUUUAUGAAAAGAGAAGAUAACAACAUUACACUGAAGACGUGGUUGAUUUAGAAAUUUAAGAGGUGGUGGCUGGCAAAAUAGGUUGGGGAAUGAGAAGUCUUGGGAGAGGCUACUUCUAUUCUGUCAGAUAUAAAUUCUAGUUUCUGCUAGACUUUAUGUAAUAUGAACGCCACUGUUGUUUUGUAUUUUGAUUUAAUAACUUUUGUUUUGAAGUGAACGUUAAUAACACCUCAUCCUCCAGAUUUACUGACCACUUGAGACAUUUGUCAGUUGUAAAAUAGACUUAUGAUAGGGGAUAUUAGCUCGGGGGAGAAAAAUGGUAUAAUUUUGCACACAGAUGUUACGUUUCUGUAGUAUAAAGAGCCAUUGUUUAUAUCUGAAGGUUUCCAGUUCAGUAUGUCAGGCAGAGGAAAUAACAAUCUCAGGCAGCAUUUUGUAGUUAGCAGUGUGAGCAGAUAAGUCAGUACAUAUACCAAUAUAUUGAUUAAAGACUAGAAAACCAUGUUUGUCUUAGAAAUUAUGUGUUGCUUUUAAUUACAUUUCUGUGUUUGUGGCAUCUCUUGUAUACAGAGUUCAUGUACUGUUCCACCCCCCACCCCCUUGUUCCUCCACUCACAGGAUUUUAUAUUUCUGGUCAUUAAAGCCUUCAGAAACAAAACACCUAAGAUUUAUCUAAAACAGAAGUGGGAAACCAUUGCCUUUGCAAGUCUUGUUGGACUGCAACUUUCAUCAACCCCAAGCAGCAUAGGUAGUGAUGUGGGAUGAUAGGAGUUACAUACAAGGACAUCUGGAGGGACACAGUUGCCCAUCCCUGAUCAAAAGUACUUUGUCUCCAUUUCUUACCUUUAAGGAAUAUAUGGACUUCCUGACACUUCUCUGUGGCAGUAUUGCCAUCUAAAUUGCUGUCUGAACUUAGUUUCUUUGACAACACUGUUCAAGCCAACGUUUGCGUUUUAUCGGUGGCUUAUGGCAACAUCUUUGUGAACUGAAAACCUAUGAACUGUCAAGGACGGGCAGGAGUCCGAGAGCUGGGCAGAGGAGGUGGGAGAGCAGGAGGAUGAUCUUAGGGAAGACACCAGUGAUUUGUCGGGUUCUUUGCCACCGGUGAGGCAGGAGGAAGAGAGAGAGGAAGAAUCUGGGCAGUCAGAGAAGUGGGGGAAGAGUUGCAGGAAGACAGAGUCCCAGAGAGAGCUGGGCCAUUAAACUCUCCCGGGUCUCCUCCCCUGUUGUUUCCAAGGAUAGUACUCAUUUUAUGUCUGCUUGAGCCUGACAUAUAGCCCACACAGUCAAUCCUUUGAGAAAGUCACUGUAGAACAGAGUAAAAUUCUUAAAAGUUGUAUAAUAUGUAUAAUGAAAUACAAAGCUACAUACAGUCAGAGAAAUAGCUGGCACCUGCAGCUACCAAGAUGCACCAGUACCUCACACUUCUGAUUAUUUCAGUGUUUUGUUAUUCUUGCAAGCUUUAAAUACACAGCCAGUUUGUAAAAAAUUUUCACUCAAAUUGCAGAGCUGCUGCAUGUAGUGUUCAAGGUACUUUUCCAAUUAGGAUCUGGUUGUUGCAACAUCCAAAGCCCCUACAAGUGGAAUUAUUGCAUGUGAAUAUAUAACCAACAGGCUUAAGUCUAAUUAAUGCAUGAAGGGGUUAAGACCAUGGAGUAAGCUAUACUGCCAGGCUUUACCUAGGUCACUCUGCCUCACCUUGGGAGGAAGGUAAUCAAGCCUAUUGUUGAACCUCUAGUCUACCUGAUGAAUUCAGCAUGUGAAGAGGCAAAGUUGGUUGGUCCAGCUGGUUGGUCCAGUUUAGCCACAUGUAUCUCACAAGCCAUUCUUGUGUUCCUAUACCAAUAAUUUAGGAACUUUUACUACUUUUUGACUAAGCCAAGUUUUACUGUUUGUGCAACCUUUCUGACUCCUAGUUUUCACCAUUACCUCCACCUCCGUAUUGUUCUAGAAGGUUCCCAGUCCAUUAGGACAAGCUUUUUAGGUUGCUCAGGGGCUGCAUUCGAUAGAAAGAAUAGGAAAUUUUUUAGUGCUUUGCCUUGUGUGAGCAGAAAUAAUUCCCACUAGUGCUAUCAUAGGAUAUAACCAAUGUUAUCCAUUUAUGUACCCAUUUGGGAACUUGCUUAGAGUCUCUGUAGAUGAAUGUUUAGCUUCUAAACUAUGUCAGGUUCAUAUAAUAAGAAGUUGGACUUAAGGCCCAGGGUUCCAGCUGGAAAAGUCUCAAGAAUCUUAAUUAGAACAACAAAACACCAUUGCAUAAUAACCCUAUGUUUUUAUUUCAAAUUUUGGAAGGAGAAAAUUGCUUACUGCCAUUAAAGCUCUAAAAGCAUUGGCUUGGCUUCUUGCAUAACUAGUCAGCCAACUACUAGCGAUACUAGUGUGAAAACAGAAUAGGAAAUAAAAGAAAACAUGUAUGUCUUUUUGGAGAUGUGAUCAGCAAUGCCUGGAAGAGCAACUAACGGUGCUUAUUUAUAAAUUUGGAUUUUGUUGUUAAAGGAGACUUGUUGCUGGGGAAGGGGUUGAUUCUAUUCAUUGAAGGAAAAAUCAGUUGUUUUAUAUAUAUAUUCCGACCACAAUGAGUUUUGAAGGUGCUUUAUUCGGAGCCUUUAUCAAUCUUACACUAAAUAAUCUGAUCAGUAUUCCGUCUUACCCUGAAAAGAGCAAAUAAAGCAUAACUCUUUGGGGAUUAAUUUACUAUAGCCUGAAGCAGUAAUGCUUCCCUGACAAACAUUUUGUUGAAUAAGCAGCAUCAUACCAUCUGUUGACAGCUUGUACUUGUUACAGUAGCCAAUGUCCAGGUGUGGUCUUCAGUGGCCAGUUUUUGGUCACUGAAAUGCAAAGAUUCCUGGAUCCAUUACAUAAUGUGGAUAGAGUGUCAAAAAGUGUUUGUUUCACAGUGUUUCAAAAGAAGGCUAAUGUUUUGUACUGGCAAUUUAUUAUUGGUAACUGUCAUCCAUGCUAUACUAGUCUUGAGGACUGCAGUCAUCUAUUAUGCAUGAGGCUAACUUGAAUCUGAAAAUGUAGGGCUACCUGUGAUGCAAGAUUUAGAUAAUUGUUUCUGCUGCUGCUGUGCUGUUUGGGGCUAAACCAUGGUUUGGCUUUGUAUUUUGUGUAACCCUGUUGUACCACCCCAAUGUUUGCAGAACAUUUCUUGCUUCCAUUGGGGAAUGCUAGGCAUUAAUAUAUUUUGGAAUAUAUAUGAGUUUUUUGGAAGAAAUUUUGCAGCUACAGUUAUGCAAGUAUGGUAUAUGUGCUAUAUUUUCAAACAAGCGCACAUUGCUAUUCGAUGAGGGGUCUCAAGGACAGGAUCUAAAUCAACAUAAUGGGUCAUAUGUUAUAUUUAGAAAAAAACCACAUUUGUUAAUUUUUAUUGUAGUACAUGUAGUAUUAUGAGCUGAUACUAAUAGCGGGAAAUCAGUUCUAUCAGUUGUUUGGUCUCCUUCCAAACAGUUAACAAAGAUUUUAAUGGCUCCUUCAAACAACCAAACAACCAAAAAUAAAAAUAAAAAUAAAAUCUCCAUCCACAUCUCAUUGCAGUAUUUCCUAAUAGUGAGCAUAACUAUUACCCGUAUCUUUACAGGUGUAUUAGGAAAGUGACCAACACAAGCAAUGUACAAAAUAAUAAUAUAUUCUAGAUUUUUAAUGUAAUAUUUAUAGAUAAGGAAGUACCAAAAUGUGCAAUCCUUGUAGCAAAUGAAUCCUGCUACUCUCACCAAUAUUACUCUUGACUGUAUGUAAAUGAACAUCUAUGACACUAGUCACAAUUUAAGUAGUCUUAGAAGUUCAUAUACUUUAAAUGAACGGUUAACAAUGAAUCUAGAGCACAUAAACUUUGAAUGACUUGUAACAAGAAUUGACGAUUCAGUAUAUUCAAUUAGUCUUUCAAAGGCAUUUAUUUGUUCAGCUUUCCCCUCGAAAUGGUAAAGAGAAUGCUAAUCAUAAGCUGUUGAAACUUGUCAGCAUUAGCAUUCAAAAUCCUAUGCCCCUGCUUUUCUUUAAAGGUCUUUGGUUAAAGUCAUUACAUGUUUUCACUAGCACAUUCAUAAAUUAUUCUGAGAUAAAGAAAAAUGGCUUGGCACAGCCAAUUCACUUCCAGAUUGAUGAUCAGCUUUUUUAAGGGGUGACUUUGUUUUUACAGAAGGUUGAUUCACACAUUUAUCUCCAUUUUCUAUAGCAAGCUGGUUCCAACGGUUCUGAAUUGGAUCUUGUGUGUGUGUGUGUGUGCUUGCACACACUAUCUCUCAUAAUCAUUCCUAUACAGAAAUAUAAAUCUAUACAGAUACUUGUGUUUCAUUUUCAUGCAAGUGGGACCAGAGUGGCUGGGGCAACCCAGUCAUAUGGGCAGGGUACUACUACUAGUGCUGCUAUUGCUACUACUAUGUUGUCAUGGGGAGUGUCUCUAUUUAGUGUUCCAAUAUACACCUUUCCAUAUCCCCCCUUUUGUUUUCAACUUCCAACAGAUAAUCGGUAUCAGACAAUACACCAAUAAGAGUGUCUAGUUUUCAUUAGUCUAUUUCAGGGUGCUUUGAUGUCUUAAGCCCUCCCCCUUUUAAUAUAUGUUUACUUUUCUGCAGCUUUUGGUUCCCCCAGACUAGCUUAUAUCUUUUUCUUGCUUGUGGUAAUUCAUUUGGCUACAUGAGAACAUUAAUUUGGAAAACAAUUUCCUUAUUAGUAUACAUGAUAUGCUUUUAUUGUACAUUUAUGUGAAUGCAGGUUAGAUUAUUUGUAGUAUCUUCAUACUUUAUGUGUGCAUUCAAGGCAAAGUCAUUUUCCUACUUACAUCCCAUUUUAUUUUAAUAGCUACUCCUUUACUUUUAUCAUUUGCUUUUCUAUUGCAGUUGCCAAAUCU